Molecule: ribosomal RNA, 285 nt
Filed under: uncultured bacterium
Lineage: Bacteria
Description: partial 16S ribosomal RNA
Rfam family: Bacterial small subunit ribosomal RNA
Source: RNAcentral
AAUCAACGCUGGCGGCGUGCCUCAGACAUGCAAGUCGAACGAUUAAAGCUCUCUUCGGAGAGUGUAUAGAGUGGCGCACGGGUGAGUAACACGUAAGUAAUCUACCUUCGGAGUGGGGAAUAACACCGAGAAAUCGGUGCUAAUACCGCAUAAUGCAGCGGCAUCGCAAGAUGACAGUUGUUAAAGAUUUAUCGCUUGAAGAGGAGCUUGCGGCAGAUUAGCUAGUUGGUAAGGUAAUGGCUUACCAAGGCUACGAUCUGUAACCGGUCUAAGAGGACGGUCGGU